Molecule: ribosomal RNA, 492 nt
Filed under: uncultured bacterium
Lineage: Bacteria
Description: partial 16S ribosomal RNA
Rfam family: Bacterial small subunit ribosomal RNA
Source: RNAcentral
AGUGAACGCUGGCGGUAGGCCUAACACAUGCAAGUCGAACGGCAGCACAGUAAGAGCUUGUUCUUACGGGUGGCGAGUGGUGGACGGGUGAGGAAUACAUCGGAAUCUACUUUUUCGUGGGGGAUAACGCAGGGACACUUACGCCAAUACUGCAUACGACCUACGGGUGAAAGCAGGGGAUCUUCCGACCUCGCGCGAUCGAAUGAGCCGAUGUCGGAUUAGUUAGUUGGGGGGGUAAAGGCCCACCAAGGCGACGAUCCGUAGCUGGUCUGAGAGGAUGAUCAGCCACACUGGAACUGAGACACGGUCCAGACUCCUACGGGAGGCAGCAGUGGGGAAUAUUGGACAAUGGGCGCAAGCCUGAUCCAGCCAUACCGCGUGGGUGAAGAAGGCCUUCGGGUUGUAAAGCCCUUUUGUUGGGAAAGAAAAGCAGCAGGUUAAUACCCCGCUGUUCUGACGGUACCCAAAGAAUAAGCACCGGCUAACUUCGUG